Schistocerca piceifrons (Central American locust) is the source of this 294-nucleotide long non-coding RNA. RefSeq lists it as uncharacterized. The transcript has 3 exons. NCBI's taxonomy places the organism in Eukaryota, Metazoa, Arthropoda, Insecta, Orthoptera, Acrididae. The record is from RefSeq and is a predicted model, not a curated record.
UCGUGGCAGAUGGUGAGCAGAAGUCGGGGUAUAGAAGCUGCGGAGGUUACAGGUGAACAGACUGGCACUCUGCAGGAUGCAUGCACAACUGACGGAGUCGUCUGGGGUCCAAUGUUUGGUGUCACCACUCUGCACUUACUACAUAGAAGAUUAAGAUUUCAUUGAUGUCAGAGACAAGUUAUGCAGUCUACUGGACAGGUGCAGAACAGUCCAGAUAUUGGUUGAAAGAGAUAUUAUCGUGUGGGACAUAUUCAGUGCUGAAGACAAUGGUAAGCAGUUUUACUCAUAUACGAG